CGCAAACAGCAGAGAAAAAACAGAACCCCAGAUCCACCGCUCCCCAUUUCUAUCCGCGGCCAUGGCCUCCGCCGAUGCCGACGCCGGGACCUGCCCGUGGGACGCCCUCCCGUCGCACCUCCAGGAGCGCAUCCUCUCCCUCCUCCCCAUCACCGAGCUACUUCCCGUCGCCGCGGUGUCCCGCGCGCUCCGCCGCCUCCUGCGGUCCCCGGCGUUCCACGCCCUCCUAUCCCCGCACCGCCUCGACGCCUUCUUCCUCCUUUCCCCACGGCUCGCCGUCCACCCGCUGUCCCGCCGCGUCCUCACUUUGCCUGCGCUCGCCGCGCUCUCUCCCCCUUCCUACCCGCUCGUCUCCUCCCCGUCCCCAUCGCUCCUCAUCACCUGCGCCUCACUCCAGUUCCUCCCGCCGAUCCCCGACGGAGCCUACCUCCUCUCCGUUAUCGUCCCGUCGCGCCGCUCCUCCCCCUCCUGCACCCUCGUCGCUGUCACCACCGGCGCAGCCGUGCGUUCUCACACCCUGGACACCGGCGAUCCCUCCCCGCGUUGGGCGUCUAGAGGCGAUCUCCCGCUGUCUCUCACGAUCCUGGGAAACGCCGCAGUCGCCCGUGACCGCGGCAAGCUCUUCGUCCUCGGCCGUGGUCCCGACGCGCUCUUGGCUUUUGAUCUCGUGACGGGGACAUGGGAGGUGCCGCCUGUUGUGAUGCCACAAGGUCUCACUACGGCGCACCUGUUUGUUUUUGAUGGGAGCCUGUUCUUAGUAGGUGGGAUCGAGAGCUUUGGAGAAGUGGAGCGGGUGGUGGUCUGGCGGCUGGACGUCGAUAAGGAGGAGGUGUGGUGGUGGAGGGAGGUGAGCGAGAUGCCGACCGAGGUUUUCGAUGAGUUGCUGGCUGGUAGGUUUGGCAGUUUCUGGCAUUUUCAGGCUGCGGACAGAUUGGGGAUUGUUUGCUUGUACAAUGCCGUGGAUGGGAGGCUGGUCAUGUUUGAUGCAUCUGAUGGCGCGUGGACUGUGCUGCCACGAUUGUCUGGGUUGGAUGCAGACGAGAGCCUCAGGUGGUUUGGACAUGUCUUGGAGCCAGGAGUUGAAAUCUUGAUGGGACUACGUUGAUCUCAUGUUCACGUCAUUAAACUCACAAAGCUGAAGUUACUAAAAGAGGUGUAUGCAAGUUGCUGGCAAUUACCAAUGCAUUAGAGCUCCUGAAGGUUUCUUUUACUCAGCUCAUCAUCGUGUUCAGAAGCACAAGCUGCAUUAAUGUGUAACUUUUCACAGAGCAAAAUUCUUACCAUCCUUUCCUUUUGGAGAGAGAGAGAAGAACUUCAUGUCGGAGAGCUUCUCAUUUCACCUUCCUUGCCAAGUGAAGGAGGUGGUGAGGCCGAUGAUCCUAACAACUUCAGUACUUCCAUGGAAGAUAGGAGUAGAUUUGAUGACAAUGCCCACAAACACAAGGCUGUGGACAUCAAAAUCAGCAUGCAGUCUCUCAAUUUGGUUAUUGAUAUGCUCGCGAGGUUUCAGCUGACCAUUAAGGAGGACGUUAUCCAUAGGAUGGAUGUAUUGAAUCCACAGAUGUUUUCCCUUGCUCCCAUUGGUUUAUACAGACAUGCAUGACCUAGGUGCGAAGGCUUACAAUCGAUAAACACUAUUCAGGUGUUUGGUGAACCUGUGCCUACUUCUCCAACGAUACUGCGGAGUCUUUUGAAGCAAGGUCAGUGGCGAAGCCAGAAGAUUUUAGGAGCCCGGACAAUUCUCAUUAAGCAAAAAUAUUUAAUUAUAAAAUUACAGAAUUUUAUAUAAAUAUAAAAAAAAUUUCUUUUACAUCUUGGCGAGGAGCCCGGCCCUCCGCCAGUGAGCAAGGUCACUGUAAGUCUGUAAGGCCCAGUUUAGUUCCCUACCUAAAAUUUUUUCAUCCA
RNA transcript from Sorghum bicolor (sorghum), 1905 nucleotides. It is a transcript of the gene named F-box/kelch-repeat protein At5g43190, with no coding region annotated. Lineage: Eukaryota; Viridiplantae; Streptophyta; Magnoliopsida; Poales; Poaceae. The transcript has 6 exons. The record is from RefSeq and is a predicted model, not a curated record.